UGCCCAGCAACUCCUAUCCCUACCUCCACGCGGUACCGGCCGGAAACUAUGAGCAACCUUAGGGAAGA
Non-coding RNA from Aedes albopictus (Asian tiger mosquito), 68 nucleotides. The record is from Rfam. Lineage: Eukaryota; Metazoa; Arthropoda; Insecta; Diptera; Culicidae.